UAGUCCACGCCCUAAACGAUGUACACUAGUUGUUGUGGUGCAAGUCACUGCAGUAAUGCAGCUAACGCAUUAAGUGUACCGCCUGGGGAGUACGGUCGCAAGAUUAAAACUCAAAGGAAUAGACGGGGACCCGCACAAGCGGUGGAGCAUGUGGUUUAAUUCGAGGAUACGCGAAGAACCUUACCUGGACUUGACAUCCUAUUAAUAAUUUAGAGAUAAGUUAGUGCUAGUUUACUAGAAAAUAGUGACAGGUGCUGCACGGCUGUCGUCAGCUCGUGUCGUGAGAUGUUGGGUUAAGUCCCGCAACGAGCGCAACCCUCGUCCUUAGUUGCUAACAGUUCGGCUGAGCACUCUAAGGAGACUGCCUUUCGCAAGGAGGAGGAAGGUGAGGACGACGUCAAGUCAUCGAUGGCCCUUAUGUCCAGGGCUACACACGUGCUACAAUGGCCAGGACAAUGAGAAGCGAUACCGCGAGGUGGAGCAAAUCUAUAAACCUGGUCUC
RNAcentral lists this ribosomal RNA (502 nucleotides) under uncultured bacterium. Its description in RNAcentral is "bacterial SSU rRNA". It matches the Rfam family "Bacterial small subunit ribosomal RNA", at positions 791 to 1289 of the family's 1533-position model. The record is from RNAcentral.